This 5746-nucleotide long non-coding RNA is filed under the name Sus scrofa (pig). RNAcentral's name for it is "lncRNA (ENSSSCG00060071824.1)". Lineage: Eukaryota; Metazoa; Chordata; Mammalia; Artiodactyla; Suidae. The record is from RNAcentral.
ACGCAGGUUCAAUCCCUGGCCUCACUCAGUGGGUUAAGGAUCCCGCAUUGCCAUAAGCAGUGGCAAAGUUUGCAGACUCAGCUCAGAUCUGGUGUUGCUGUGGCUGUGGCAUAUGUCAGAGGCUGCAGCUCCAAUUAGACCCCUAGCCUGGGAACUUCCAUAUGCCAGAGGUGCAUCCUUAAAAAGAAAAAAAAGAAAGAAGAAAAAUCACUAGAAAUACAAACCAUGCUUCUCCUUUCUCUUUAAAGCUUUGCAUUCCUACAGUUCCUUGGUGGCCUAGUGGUUAAGGAGUCAGCAUUGUCCCCCUGCUGUGCCAUGGGUUUGAUCCCUGGCCCUGGGAAUUUCUGCACACACACACACACACACACACACACACACACACACACAAAGGGAAAAAAAAUAUCUUUGCAUUCCUGUGUAUGAUACUGAACAGUAGUAAUUAAAUUGGAUUUGUCAACUGUGGGAUGAAAUCAGGGCUGAGAGUGUCGACAAUUCAUUGUAGUAAAGAAAAAGUUGGAUGGUGCUUCUGUUUUACUUCUGCUCAGGAGUACAAGUCGGACAUGCCUGGGCCACAGCCUGGGUACCCCAUCCUACCAAUGGUGCUGGAACCUGCGGGUGGACUGCAUCGGGCCCUCUACUACCCUUACUACAAGAGGUGAAGACAUAUCUGGUAUCAUCUCCCAGGGCAUCAGAAGAACUAAAGCAGGACCUGCGUCUUGUACAUCAAGGUGACCAUAAGGUCCAAGGCCAAGAAUAUCAAAAGCACUCAAGAUCGUGUGCCAAUUCAUGUUUACAAGCCUUUGAUCCCUGUGCUCCAAACUCUGGAUGGUGUCACAGUUCAAAGAACUGAGUCCAGUUCACAAGAGUCAUUUCAAAAAGAUUUUAGUGAUAUAUUUCAAUUUGUAAUACUGUAAGAGUCUUUGCCAAGCACAGAAUACCUCUUUACCCCCCUCUUUUCCUGCCAUCUAUGUUUAAUGCAGUUAAUUAAAAAUUGUUUAUCAAUAUCAACUACACACUAAACAAGGCUCCUUGGACCACAGAUAUGGGACACACGAUUUCAUGGUCAGGACAAUCUCUGCCACAACAAAGUCCCCCAGACAAAUAUCCAACCCUGACCUGUGUGCCUCCUGUCAUCCUUUCUUUUCCCUUUCCCUCUAGUUCUUUAUUAUAAAGCCAAAAGAUUAGCCCAGUGACAAGUCAGACUGUUCCAGGAAGGCAGCAGAGAGAAAAAGCUGGGAAUCCUCACGCAUAAUUAUUUAAUCCCAUAACAAAACUACAAUGCAUCUUGAUUAUGAUGUUGUGUUUUGAAGCCCUCAAUCAGAAUUCAAACAAACUCCCAUCCCUUUUGAGAAAUGAAAGAGUAGCCACUAACCCUCAGGCAGAGAAGGAAAUGAGAAGUUUGACAAGAAUGUAAAAACCACUGCCACCAUUUAUAAUUGGAUGUUCCUUGUAGCAGGUCAUUUGUGGCAUGCGUACUGUGGGUACACUUUUCCCCUUCUUAAGGAUGACAGUUCUGUAUGAUCAGAGCCUAGAUGCAAGUUGUACUGAACAGGGAUGUAUUUGUUUGCUAUUGCUGCAUAACAAAUUACUAUAAACUUAGGUGCUUAAAGUGACACUAGUUUAUCAUUUCACAGGUUAUUGAACUGGCUUCUCUGUUCAAGGGCUCACUAGGCCAAAAUCAAGGUGUCAUUCAGGGCUGUGAGCCCGUCUAGUACUCAAGAGCCUCUUUUGAGCUCACAAGGUUGUGACUGAAUUCAUUUCCUUGCUGGCUGUAGGACUGAGGUCCUUGUUUUAUAUCUAGGUGGCAGUUGAGGGUCUAUCACAACUCCUGCAGAUCCCAGUGGUUCUUGCCAUGUGGCCUCUCAUGGGCCCUCUCAGAACAUGACAACUGACUCCUUCAAAGCCAGCAGGACAGUCUCUGACCUCGGGGAGGGCCCUAGUCCCUCUUUUAGAGGGCUCACUUAAUUGGGUUGGACCACUAAAAUAAUCUCUCUUUUAAUUCACUCAAAGUCAACUGAUUAGAGACCUUAAUCACAUCUUUAAAAUGUCUCCACCUCUGCUAUAUAACUGCAAGAUAAUCUCAGGGGUGCUAUGCCAUCACAUUCACAGGUCUUACCCAUUCUCAAAGAGGGGAGAUUUUAUGGGAUGUGUACCCCAAGAAGCAAGAAUCCUGGGGGUCAUCUUAGAAUUCUGCCUACAACAUGGGAGGGACCACCACGAUGGAACUGGCAACAAUUAAUCCCAAACUACUACAUGUGAGUGUGUGUGUGUGUAUGUGUGUGUGUGUGUGUGUGUGUGAGAGAGAGAGACACAAUCAUAAACUCAGGAACUUGGAACUGAAGAUGGGCUCCCUAAAAGUGUAAAAUCCCAUACUUAAGAUCCACAACUAUCACAUAGAAUAUUUAUUGUUUAUUUAUCAGGACAAUUCUGCAAUAGCACAUGCAUUUAAGGCUUUCACUCCCUAAAACCAAGUGAAAUCUUGAGAUAAUUCCAGUGAUAAGGACAGGAGCCCAGAUGUGCCUUUCAGCAAUGACUUUCUCUCACCUGGAAAACUACAAAGUGAAUUUGAAACCACUGGUAACACCGUGGCAGUCACAUGGAUAAGAUUUUUUUUAAAAAAGGAAGAAGAGAAACAUCAGGAGCCUUUAAGCUGUUUUCUAAAUUUGACAUCAGCAGAAUAUUUAUGUUGGCAGUAUCCUGUAAAUCGCAGCAGGAGAUUUGACAGGAGGCACUCUAUGCAUAACCCAUGUGAGCCCCAGAUCAAGAAGAGAGUAUUUGCAUAAACCGAAUCCUAGAGACCAUGUCAUCGCGAUCGUUCUCUUCCUCCUUCCUCCCUCUCCACCCUGCAAGCUAGUGGGGUUGAGUUUCCUGGGCUACCUUCCAUGAACAUCAAGGAAUGCAACAGAGAUGAAUGUUACAUUGACACCAGCAGAGCUACCACAGAAAACUGUUUGUCCACCCUUUUCAUUUCUCAGUACCAGCAAGCAUCUGAAGACUUUGCACCUGUUCUAGUUAGCCCUGGCAAAUGCAGCCUGUAUUUAUAUUAAUAGAAUGAUGUUUUCAUAACAAAAUGGAUGUGCAGCGAUCACGGACUCAUGCUGGAUGCUCUCAUAAGCGCCCAGAUCGGGGGAGGGGCAGCUCUUACAUAAAGCCCCAUGGCAAGGGGGAAAGACGCGCAAAGCCCACGCUGAAUCAUCGGACAGGUUGAGAACUUGUUCAGGAAUGGCCCGACUCGUGUAUUGGAAAUUAAAUUAGAUUCUCGAUUAAGAGGAAAAUACGCUGGAGAGAAAUGGGCUUUGCAAGGGCAGUUCGGGGCUCUGAACUCUUUUGUAUUCCGUCUCCUGUUUCUGUAAUGUGUGUCUUAUCUCCCCAGAGGGGAGCAGAAAACUGGUGAGAUCAUACUUGGCUCAAUUCCUGAAAGUUUGUUUUGAGUCACCAGUGUAAAUAUGGCCCACCCAAUCUGUACAUUUGCACAAAUUAACUGAAACCAGCUACCCAAUUCCUACUUCACUUUUGGAUCUGUUGAUUAACCCUGACAGCUGUAACCUCAUUAGUCCAAGCUCUGGCCGUUCCAGAGCAGCUGUCAAAUUAGGAAGAAGUGGACUCACUGAAGUCGCCUAUGGACCAGGCACGUUAAAAUCAAUAGACGCUCUAAAAGGUUUCAGUUUAUGAUUCUAAUUCUAAUGUAUGUGAUGCGGUGGGCUUUUCACCCAGAUCCGUAAUAUGGGCCUGAAAUCGGUUCUUUACGGAGAAACCAGAGGCUCUAUCACAAGGCAAGAACAUAGGUUUUAUCUGGAGAGUUUGGAUCUGUAUCAGUUGAAAAUGGGUUUUUAGCAUGCAUUAUAACACAGACAUUUUAAUAUAUUUGAAAAUAUUAGUUCCUAAUGUAUUUUUUGGCAUGAGAGAUUUUGUUAGUUUUGACAAGAGGCCAACAAAGUCUUGACUACAGAAAUAAGAAAAAUCUUACAGCUGGCCCUCAAUGGAAAAGUAGAGUUAAAAAGUGAGGAAAGGACUAAAACACACUCCAAUAGGAAUGCGGUUUCCCAAAAUAGAACACGGAUCCCUUCUGUAAGAAUCUCUAAGGAAGGAGUAGGGAGGGAAAUUCCCAAUGUCUUUUCUUUAAAAUCUGAAGGGCCAGGGAAGGAGAUGACUUUCCAUCCACCAAAGUGUUGCCAAGAACAGUGGAAACAGGUCAAAUGCAGUGUGUGAACUUCUCUUGCAGCAUUUUCAUUGUGGGGAGAUAGCACAGGGGAGCCGAAGAAGUUCUGAAGGAAGAAUCUGGAGACUUCAGUUCUGAUCCCAGUACUGUCCCAGUUCUGCCAAGUCCACCAGUGCGUGUUUGAACAAGUUCCUUCACCUCUCUAGAUCUCAGUAGACUCCGUUUAUAAAAUGAGGUUUUCCAGAUGAGUGAAAUGAUCCCUCUAUCUUUAAUGACUGUGGACUCUUUGCACAAAUCAUGAGAAGCUUCUCCUCCAUGGCCCAAGGUGGAUCUAGGUACGAGGUUUUUUUCUCUUCAGGGUAAUUCUCUUCUACUCUUUGCAGUGCCCCUUAGCCUAUUAUGCAAACAGGUGCUGUCCUUUGGCGCCCCCUGGUGAUGGCUGGGGCUUUUACAUGCACCUUCCCCCACGUGGCCCUAGAAGAUAAAAAUGCUAACUCUGGGCACCUUCCCCAGUAGAACGCAGUUUGCUGCUCACCAGGGGGAAAAGCAAUCCAAAAACUCAUUACUGUCACUUUAUAGCUUUAACACACUGCUUUCUUGAGACUUAAGGGACUAUGCAGAUUUUAUUUAAGUAGCAUUAAUCAGACGCUCUAUUGGCAUAAAUAUUAUCAACUCCUAGCCUGUUCCAAAUUGAAGGAUUUAGAAACAAUAAGGACUUCUACUUUCAUUAUUGUGAGGAAACAGACCAGUAAAAUAAGAAGUAUUUAAGUGUUUAAGAGAGGCCAAGUGUUUCCUUUGCACAUGACUAAUUUAAAUUACCAGAAAUAUCAGAGAACGUAUGCUCUGGUGUUUCCUAAAUGGGAAAGCACUAGGAGUUUAUUGAGCCUUUUCCCAUACCUUUCCUUCAAUUUAAAAAUCAUUUACAGGGAAAACUCUGUGAGUCAAAAGUCAGUUAAGAUGAAAAAGUAAAGAAAAUCAUUUUUGUUGUUUGUUGUUAUGGAAAGACAGAUAACUAUAUUUUAAGUAUCGUGAACCACUGGGAAUUAGAUUCUACUCUCAAUCAUGACAAUUUACAGUUAGAUUAUAUUUGCCUUAAUCGUGUCAGUCCCACUUUUUCUUGUUUAUAAUUAUAUUCUGUUCCUUUCACUUUGAGGCUCUGUUGAACAUAGUAAAAAGAUGUCUUUGAUUUAGUGUAAAAGCAGAUACAUCUUUCAUUUAAAUGCCAAACGUUGUGACUAUCCAAAGAAAUUAACCAAAUACAAUGUGAAGGAAAAAAGACAAAACUCAGAAAACUUUAAUUAUUCUAUGUUGACUACAGUGACUUUACCAUGGGCUACUAAUGCUAAGCCCUUUCAAGGCCGAUUCAUUUUCAUGCAUCCAGUUCAAUGUGAUUAUAACAACUAUGACUGCUUCCAGGUAGGGUUAAAAAAAAAAAAAUAGUCACAGGAAAGAGAAAAGUCAAUAUUCCCUAAAGGAGAAAAACAUUUCUUUGCCAUGCUUACUUGACUCCUUCUGGCAAAAGGCUGUUAGCAGUUGUACCACACAGUUCAACCAGAACGUGUCUCCAGAAAGAAAAAAAAGAAAAAA